UUUAUUCUCAAACUGAAUUUUUUUCUUUUAACUGAAGUAUAGUUGAUUUACAAUGUUGUGUUAGUUUCUGGUAUAUAGCAAAGUGAUUCAGUUAUACAUAUAUAUGUAUACAUAUACAUAUUCUUUUUCAUUAUGGUUUAUUGCGGGAUAUUGAAUAUAGUUUCCUGUGCUAUACAGUAAGACCUUGUUGUUUAUCUAUUUUAUAUAUAGUAGUUUGUAUCUGCUAAUCCCAAACUCCUAAUUUAUCCCUCCCCCACCCCCUCUCCCCUUUGGUAACCGUAAGUUUGUUUUCUAUGUCUGUGAGUCUAUUUCUGUUUCGAAAAUAAGUUCAUUUGCAUCAUAUUCAAACUGAAUAUUUGAAUCUCAAGGAUGAAGAAGAUGAUGAUGACUAUGUUGAAGAAGGGGAAGAAGAAGAAGAGGAAGAAGAAGGUCUUCGAGGGGAAAAGAGGAAACGAGAUGCUGAAGAUGAUGGAGAGGAAGAGGAUGACUAGAUCAUUCUAAGACCAGAUUCCCUAAUGUUCCUGGGUGUGCAAUAGAGUGAUCACAUCUUCUUUGUUUCUUCAUGUACGAUAGCUAUCCCUACAGAAGAUAAUGUGUAACUUUUUAUAGGAAAAGUGUGGUUUUACUAUUUUUGCCUUACCAUUCCAAAUAAGAUUAACUAGUCUGUUAAUGAUCAUAUUGUAUGUAGAGACAAAUUUUCAUUGACCCCAUUGUGAAAUUCCCUAGCAAUUUAUUUAGAAUCUUAAUUUUUCUAAUUAAAGUUCACUGUGUUAGUCAUUUUUAGUAUAAUUAAAACAUGAUUGCUUUUACACAGGCGUAAUAUGGUGCAUUUCAUUCAUAGGAUUUUAAAGUUAUUUAUAAAUUAACUGAAAUCACAGUUGGCUGGAAUCUGGAAUGAAAAUAGUCUCUUGAAUUAUAAGUUGGUUAUUUUUUUAGAGGCAACCCAGAGAUCUUUAGUUUGAAGGCAGUGACUUUUUUUUUUGGUUGAGGGUAUUUGGGUGCUUUUUUGUCACAUGAGUAGCUUGGAAAGUAGGAGCAGAAUAGUAAAGGUUCUAUUCAACAAUAUAGUUCAUGGCUUUUGUGAAGGCUUCUAAAACCUUUUAAGCCAGGUGACUAAGAAGAUUUUAGUUUCCAAGGAAAAAUUGCUUAUACUGAUUUCAGAGACAUGUAGGAGAGCCCUUUCUUCAAGUCGAAGAUCAUGACCUGCCAACGGUUGUUAUUUUGUUUUAAGUGUGCAUUCUUUGUUUUCCUCUCAGUGAUUCUUUUAUGAUCACCUUCCUUUCUUGUUUCACUCCCCUCUUCUCAAAAAAGAGUUGGGAAACUUAUGGAUACCCAAGAUGACUUUGUCUUAUACCUCAACCACCUUUUCAGACCUGUCUUAGCUUUAAACAAGCUAAGUGAAAGAAAUUGAGUAUUUUCUGAAAUAGGAAUAUUAUUAUCAAUACAGUUUUAUGCAACAGACUCUGCUUACUGUAAAUCUCUUUCUUGACAAGAUGUACAGACUGUAUUAGGAGGAUGAAGAAAGAAAAGAAGCAGAGGAGGCUCUUGGAAGCAGCAUGUGUGUUCCUCAAAAGUCAGAACAAUUGCCUGUUGAUAAUUAAUGAGACAUUCAAAUCAGAUUAGCUUCCCAAGUGAUUUAGAUACCACUCUGCAAAGUAUUUCUAAUUUUCCUGAGUAGAACCUUUAAUUAUUCUUUCUAUAGUUUUAAAGCAUUACCAGAUAUAGCAUUUAAUUGAAAUACACUGGACAGCUGGAAAAAUAUUUGAAACUAAAUCAAUAUUAAAAUUAAGAUUUGGUUUCAGGUGGAUGUCCAUUAAAAAUAGAAAAAUAUUUGGGAUAACUGUGAGUGUGUGUUUCCUUAUACAGCUACUAAAUAUAAUAUUAUGAGUAGGCAAGUACAUCUCCUUUUUUUGUUGUGGAGGCUCCAUGUUCAAGGCAAUUGCUUUCUUAAUCUUGGCUAUCUAAAAAUUUUUUCCCCUUUGUUUUGAAUAUUUGUAAGUUUUUAAAAAGUUAGUAUCAGCAAAUUAAUUGAAGUUACACUUUCGUACUGGGACACAUUUAAAUUACUGAAUAUAGUAUUGCUUCUUUUUUGGUUUAAAAUGUAUGACUUGGGGAUUUAAAGUAAAAAAUGAUGAAGUUAUUUGUGGAUAAACUAAAAAAUUUGCAUAACUGACUGAAAUAAAACUGUUGGGAUAAGUUUAGUGGGGGGAUUGGAAUCUCCAAAAGGCUAACAUUUUACUCCUUUUUAACAAUUAUAAUGCCCUGUUUUAGUCCGUUAAGGGUUCUCAUUGCAUAGUAUGCCAGAUUAUAAAAUACUUAUUUUAAAAGUUAAAUCUAUAUAUUGACUUUCUUAUCAAUCAUCUUAUUGUGCAAUCAACAUGAGAGUUCUUUGGUUUGAAAACAACACUUAGAGCCUCCAAAAACCUUUUUAAGACUUACUUAGCUUUGUGGGUGGUAUUUUCAUGCAAAUAAGUAAGGGUGGGUUUUAUAUUUUGUAG
Long non-coding RNA from Monodon monoceros (narwhal), 2498 nucleotides. The record is from Ensembl. Lineage: Eukaryota; Metazoa; Chordata; Mammalia; Artiodactyla; Monodontidae.